This 434-nucleotide ribosomal RNA is filed under the name uncultured bacterium. RNAcentral describes it as "bacterial SSU rRNA". It matches the Rfam family "Bacterial small subunit ribosomal RNA", at positions 29 to 507 of the family's 1533-position model. The record is from RNAcentral.
AACGAACGCUGGCGGCAGGCCUAACACAUGCAAGUCGAGCGCUCACUUCGGUGGGAGCGGCGGACGGGUUAGUAACGCGUGGGAACAUACCCUUUUCUAAGGAAUAGCCACUGGAAACGGUGAGUAAUACCUUAUACGCCCUUCGGGGGAAAGAUUUAUCGGUGAAGGAUUGGCCCGCGUUAGAUUAGAUAGUUGGUGGGGUAACGGCCUACCUAAGACUGUGAUCAAUAGCUGAUUUGAGAGGAUGAUCAGCCACAUUGGGACUGAGACACGGCCCAGACUCCUACGGGAGGCAGCAGUGGGGAAUCUUAGACAAUGGGGGCAACCCUGAUCUAGCCAUGCCGCGUGAGUGAUGAAGGCCUUAGGGUCGUAAAGCUCUUUCGCCUGUGAUGAUAAUGACAGUAGCAGGUAAAGAAACCCCGGCUAACUCCGUG